RNAcentral lists this ribosomal RNA (450 nucleotides) under uncultured bacterium. RNAcentral describes it as "bacterial SSU rRNA". It matches the Rfam family "Bacterial small subunit ribosomal RNA", at positions 355 to 825 of the family's 1533-position model. The record is from RNAcentral.
UCAAGAAACUUCCACAAUGGGCGAAAGUCUGAUGGAGCGACGUCGCGUGAUGGACGAAGUGCUUCGGCACGUAAACAUCUUUUAUGUGGGAUGAAAUUAUUGACAGUACCACAUGAAUAAGGGGCUCCUAACUCUGUGCCAGCAGGAGCGGUAAUACAGAGGCCCCAAGCGUUAUCCGGAAUCACUGGGCGUAAAGGGUGUCGAGGCGGUUGUAUUAGUCGUUCGUAAAAUCUACGAGCUUAACUUGUAGGCGGCGAACGAAACGGUACGACUUGAGGUUUGGAGAGGUGCGUGGAACUCACGGUGUAGGGGUGAAAUCCGUUGAUAUCGUGGGGAACACCAAAGGCGAAGGCAGCGCACUGGCCAAAAUCUGACGCUCACACACGAAAGCUAGGGUAGCGAAGAGGAUUAGAUACCCCCGUAGUCCCUGAGCGGGCUGGCAAGGCGCAU